RNAcentral lists this ribosomal RNA (500 nucleotides) under uncultured bacterium. RNAcentral's name for it is "partial 16S ribosomal RNA". It matches the Rfam family "Bacterial small subunit ribosomal RNA", at positions 30 to 523 of the family's 1533-position model. The record is from RNAcentral.
AUUGAACGCUGGCGGCAUGCCUUACACAUGCAAGUCGAACGGCAGCACGGGAGCAAUCCUGGUGGCGAGUGGCGAACGGGUGAGUAAUGUAUCGGAACGUGCCCAGUCGUGGGGGAUAACGUAGCGAAAGCUACGCUAAUACCGCAUACGAUCUGUGGAUGAAAGCGGGGGACCGUAAGGCCUCGCGCGAUUGGAGCGGCCGAUAUCAGAUUAGGUAGUUGGUGGGGUAAAAGCCUACCAAGCCGACGAUCUGUAGCUGGUCUGAGAGGACGACCAGCCACCGUGGGACUGAGACACGGCCCAGACUCCUACGGGAGGCAGCAGUGGGGAAUUUUGGACAAUGGGCGCAAGCCUGAUCCAGCAAUGCCGCGUGCAGGAUGAAGGCCUUCGGGUUGUAAACUGCUUUUGUACGGAGCGAAAAGGCUCUCUCUAAUACAGGGGGCUCAUGACGGUACCGUAAGAAUAAGCACCGGCUAACUACGUGCCAGCCGCCGCCGUAA